Molecule: ribosomal RNA, 371 nt
Filed under: uncultured organism
Description: partial 16S ribosomal RNA
Rfam family: Bacterial small subunit ribosomal RNA
Source: RNAcentral
GUAGGCGGCAAGCGUUGUCCGGAAUUAUUGGGCGUAAAGCGCGCGCAGGCGGUUCUUUAAGUCUGAUGUGAAAGCCCACGGCUCAACCGUGGAGGGUCAUUGGAAACUGGAGAACUUGAGUACAGAAGAGGAAAGCGGAAUUCCACGUGUAGCGGUGAAAUGCGUAGAGAUGUGGAGGAACACCAGUGGCGAAGGCGGCUUUCUGGUCUGUAGCUGACGCUGAGGCGCGAAAGCGUGGGGGAGCAAACAGGAUUAGAUACCCUGGUAGUCCACGCCGUAAACGAUGAGUGCUAAGUGUUAGGGGGUUUCCGCCCCUUAGUGCUGCAGCUAACGCAUUAAGCACUCCGCCUGGGAGUACGGCCGCAAGGCUG